RNAcentral lists this long non-coding RNA (2020 nucleotides) under Capra hircus (goat). RNAcentral describes it as "lncRNA (ENSCHIG00000005340.1)". Lineage: Eukaryota; Metazoa; Chordata; Mammalia; Artiodactyla; Bovidae. The record is from RNAcentral.
AUGAAUCUGAGUUGGCCAAAGCAAAUAGCACAUCCUGGGUCUCAGAACUCUGAGUUCCAUCCUUUGCUACUGGAUUUACUCUUAACCCCCAGGAAUUUUGAGGAAGCGGUUGUUGACUCACAUCCAGACCAGGGAAGGAAGGAGCUCCAAAGCAGGCUCUCGGCGUCUGCACGCAAGGUCCCGGGGGCUCCUGGCUGUCAGAUCUCGUGGCGGGCGGAGGCCGGCAAGGCGGGGAGGAGAGACCUGGAACAUCUCACCCCGCUGCUUUUCUGCAUGCAACAGGUCGGCUUGCAUCUGGAAUCUGAAAAGCGAGGAGCGCGGGAGACCGGGCGGCGGCCACGGUGGGCUUGGGGAGGUUGUGGCCAGAGACCGCGCACUCCGGGGUCUGGGGGUGCUGCGCAUCUCGGAUGUGGCGCCGGACCCAGCCAAACAGACGGCAGACCGGGUUUCAGCGUCGCCCGGCGGAGUGGGUACGAGAACUAAACGCCCCCACAGCUCCGAGCGGAUAGAGCACCCCCUUUGGAGCGCUGGGGUGCCAGGUUUAGGAGCCGCUUCCUGCUUUCCAGGCGCCCUUACCGUCUUCCCCGCACCGCUUCGUGAAUUUAGCGGCAGCUACGGCACCUUUGGCAGAUGCCAAGCCCGGUUGCCCCCGUUCGGCACCCCCAAGGCAGCCCCAGGCUCAUCCUGGGAACCCUCAGUCCGCUCUGCUGUUCCUCCAACCCCACACCCUUGCCCUGAGGCAGAGAACUGGACCGGGGAUCCUGGUGGGGAUUUUACCUGGCUUGGGUCGCCACGGCCUGGAAGAAAGAUCGCUGCUUUCCACUCCUCUCUGGAAGAAAGCCCCUCACCACCCCGCCGCCGGCUCCUCGCUUCUCCCCUAAGAGCUGCAUAUCUGGGUGCGGGGGUGCGGGUAGGAGUGGGGAGGACUCGGGAGGGAGCUGGAGCUUAAGGAAGAAAACCUGUGAAGCAUCCUUGAACACUUGCCUCUUUCCGGUAAUCGAUGCUGUCCGGAGCAGUGGCCGCUCCACCCGGGCGAGAGGCGGAUCCAGAAUCUCGGCAGGGUGCCCUCGGUGCCGACACGAUCGCUGCAGCUGCGGGGGCCGGGGGAGAAUAGCUGCUUUAAAGGCGAGACAGACCCAGAGGUAGCCAGUCAGCGCCGAGGACGCCCAUGACGUCAUCUAGAAGGCGAGCGGAGAAGGGAAGUUGGGGGUGUGGUCACCGCACUUCUCGUCAAAAGUCCGCUGUGGCCAUGGCAACAUCUCGCGGAGGUCGUGGGCCAGCAGCUCUCCGCCCUUUCCUGUCGAGCGACUGGGCUCCGGGAUUCCAAGCCCCUGUAUGGCUGAAUGCUAGAGGAGGGUUCCAAGCCAACUUUUCCCUAACAGGACAGGCACUAGAGCUAACCUCGAGUCCACCUCUCUGUUCUGGCCGCGGGUGAGGGCAAGAGAAGGGCUGCCUAACCCCCAGGAUACGCUGGAAGGAGGAUAACGCAGAAACUUGCAUUUCCACAGGGGCAUCUCCUAUAGCUUCACUUCCCCCAAAUCGCCCGCGCCUGAGCAGAUCAGACCCGGGUCACUGACCGCAUACAGAGACUACUUCUCCCUGAACUCAAAGAUGCAAACGCUUACCCUUCGUAUCCACUCUUCGAGGAUGCGCUGUGCCCAAGCCAGCACACCCAGGCAGCGCCUGCACGGAACCAUUUGCCCCAAUCCCCGCCUGUGUACGUGGGUAAACUGAGGCUCUGAGCUUACCUAAUUGGUCCGGAAAACAGCCUAACCCACGAGAAAACAGCCACGGAUCUAGGGUUCGCAAACUGGUGGCCAGCGGUCUAAAUGGGGGCACAGACGCGUUUACUGGGCUCUUAGAAUUUUAAAACAUGUGAAGUACUUGUCUUCAAGAUUGAAAAGGUUCACACAGAAAUCUGGGAUUUCUGUCUCUUAAACAGGGGGGCUGGCAUGGUGCAAGCCAUGAAAAAACAAUGACCCUGUAGUAAGGGCUGAAAUCCAGUCCAGCCUAGGCCCAU